CAGCAGCCGCGGUAAUACAGAGGGUGCAAGCCGUUGUCCGGAAUCAUUGGGCGUAAAGGGUAGGUAGGUGGUCUCAUUUGUCUCGGGUGAAAGCCUUGGGCUUUAACCCAAGAAGUGCCCGAGAAACGGUGAGACUGGAGUCCUGGAGAGGGUCGUGGAAUUCCCGGUGUAGCGGUGAAAUGCGUAGAGAUCGGGAGGAACACCAGGGGCGAAGGCGGCGACCUGGACAGGUACUGACACUCAACUACGAAAGCGUGGGGAGCAAACAGGAUUAGAUACCCUGGUAGUCCACGCUGUAAGCAAUGAGUACUAGGCUUGGUGGGUCUUGACCCCUGCCGAGCCGGCGCUAACGCAAUAAGUACUCCGCCUGGGAAGUACGGUCGCAAGAUUAAAACUCAA
Molecule: ribosomal RNA, 399 nt
Filed under: uncultured bacterium
Lineage: Bacteria
Description: bacterial SSU rRNA
Rfam family: Bacterial small subunit ribosomal RNA
Source: RNAcentral